Molecule: small RNA, 2313 nt
Filed under: Pan troglodytes (chimpanzee)
Lineage: Eukaryota; Metazoa; Chordata; Mammalia; Primates; Hominidae
Description: retained intron
Source: RNAcentral
UGAAGCGUCUUGCUGGGCCCCAGAGGUAGUGAUCCUGCAGGUCAGUCUUCCCCUCUGUGCUCACUGGGGUGUUUUGGACCCUCUUCCACAAGGACCCAGAGAGCCAGAGAGGAUCAUGCAGUGUUGGCCCCAGACAAGGCCUCAUACUGAGUUGCAACUGAUGGCUUGGAGACUGACCGAGCCUGGCCAGGUGGGGACCUGUCCUCCUAUCCUGAUUCAUGGUCCAGUGUCCAUAAAGGAAGACUGCUGUCAACACAGUUUAUGGGCAGUGUAAUGAGGGGCUCUCUGCAGCCAGACUGCCUGGAUCUCUGUCCCAGUUCCACCUCUUACUAAUUCUAUGAUCUCGGGCACACAUUCUGAAUCUUUCUGCACUUCAGUCUUCUCAUCUGUUAAAAUGGGGCUAGUAACAGUUGCUACCUUAUAAGGUUAUAAGGACUAAAGGAGUUCAUAGUUGUGAAACACUUAGAAUAGGCCAGGCACAGUGGUUCACACCUGUAAUCCCAGGCUGAGGGAGGAGGCUGAACCAGGAUUUUGUGACCAGGCUCGGUGAGACCCUGUCUCUAUACAUUUUUUUUUUAAUUAGCUGGGCAUGAUGGUGCAUGCCUGUGGUUCCGGCUACUCGGGAGGCUGAGAUGGGUGAAUCACUUAAGCCUGGGAGGUGGAGGAUGCAGUGAGCCGUGAUCAUGCCACUGCACUCCAGCCUGGUAGACAGAGCCAGACCUUGUCUCAAAAAACAAGCAAAUAAACAAAGAAACAAAGAAUGAUGAUGACACAUGGAGCCACUAUAUAAACGUUUGCUCUUCUUAUUAGUGGUUAAAAUGUCUGAAGUCAAGUAUAGGUUUAAAUCCUUGUUUUACCACAUACUGGCUAUAUGACCCUGGGCAAGUAUUUAAUCUCUCUAUUAAAAAGGUAACGGUUGCACCAACUUUCUGUGGUUUUCAGAAGAUUAAAUGAGACAAAGUCCAUAAAUUGCCUAGCACGCUGCCUGAUCUUAGGCAGCAAAUGGUGGUGAUGACGAUUAGAUGACAGCAGGUCAGUUCUGGAAUGGGAGGCCCUCACCCAGCUCCUACAGUGAACGGUACAGCCUGGGCUGCUGCUGCUUGCCAAGCCCCAGGUCUUUCAGGCGUAGCCUCCCCUGGGGGUCCACAAUUACCAGCUGAAUCUACUCUGUUUCCAGGACCUUUGACUUAUGAUGGCUCAGCUGGGCCUGAAGAGCUUUUGAGCAUAACUUAUUGUAUGGUUUGAGUGUUUAGAAAGAUGAGCAUCUACUCUAUGCCUGAUCAGUGAUGAGUCUUGAACCCCACCCUUCUCCAACUUCCCUUGGCAGCUUCAUCCAAUUCUGUGACAACAUAUGAAACCUGCCAGACCUACGAACGCCCCAUCGCCUUCACCUCCAGGUCAAAGAAGCUGUGGAUUCAGUUUAAGUCCAAUGAAGGGAACAGCGCUAGAGGGUUCCAGGUCCCAUACGUGACAUAUGAUGAGGACUACCAGGAACUCAUUGAAGACAUAGUUCGAGAUGGCAGGCUCUAUGCAUCUGAGAACCAUCAGGAAAUACUUAAGGAUAAGAAACUUAUCAAGGCUCUGUUUGAUGUCCUGGCCCAUCCCCAGAACUAUUUCAAGUACACAGCCCAGGAGUCCCGAGAGAUGUUUCCAAGAUCGUUCAUCCGAUUGCUACGUUCCAAAGUGUCCAGGUUUUUGAGACCUUACAAAUGACUCGGCCCACGUGCCACUCAAUACAAAUGUUCUGCUAUAGGGUUGGUGGGACAGAGCUGUCUUCCUUCUGCAUGUCAGCACAGUCGGAUAUUGCUGCCUCCAGUAUCAGUGACUCAUUAGAGUUCAAUUUUUAUAGAUAAUACAGAUAUUUUGGUAAACUGAACUUGGUUUUUCUUUCCCAGCAUCGUGGAUGUAGACUGAGAAUGGCUUUGAGUGGCAUCAGCUUCUCACUGCUGUGGGCGGAUGUCUUGGAUAGAUCAAGGGCUGGCUGAGCUGGACUUUGGUCAGCCUAGGUGAGACUCACCUGUCCUUCUGGGGUCUUACUCCUCCUCAAGGAGUCUGUAGUGGAAAGGAGGCCACAGAAUAAGCUGCUUAUUCUGAAACUUCAGCUUCCUCUAGCCCGGCCCUCUCUAAGGGAGCCCUCUGCACUCGUGUGCAGGCUCUGACCAGGCAGAACAGGCAAGAGGGGAGGGAAGGAGACCCCUGCAGGCUCCCUCCACCCACCUUGAGACCUGGGAGGACUCAGUUUCUCCACAGCCUUCUCCAGCCUGUGUGAUACAAGUUUGAUCCCAGGAACUUGAGUUCUAAGCAGUGCUCAUG